UGGGGAAUAUUGCACAAUGGGCGCAAGCCUGAUGCAGCGACGCCGCGUGAGGGAUGACGGCCUUCGGGUUGUAAACCUCUUUCAGCAGGGACGAAGCGCAAGUGACGGUACCUGCAGAAGAAGCACCGGCCAACUACGUGCCAGCAGCCGCGGUAAUACGUAGGGUGCAAGCGUUGUCCGGAAUUACUGGGCGUAAAGAGCUCGUAGGCGGUUUGUCGCGUCGUCUGUGAAAACCAGCAGCUCAACUGUUGGCUUGCAGGCGAUACGGGCAGACUUGAGUAUUUCAGGGGAGACUGGAAUUCCUGGUGUAGCGGUGAAAUGCGCAGAUAUCAGGAGGAACACCGGUGGCGAAGGCGGGUCUCUGGGAAAUAACUGACGCUGAGGA
Molecule: ribosomal RNA, 385 nt
Filed under: uncultured bacterium
Lineage: Bacteria
Description: bacterial SSU rRNA
Rfam family: Bacterial small subunit ribosomal RNA
Source: RNAcentral